This 448-nucleotide ribosomal RNA is filed under the name uncultured bacterium. Its description in RNAcentral is "bacterial SSU rRNA". It matches the Rfam family "Bacterial small subunit ribosomal RNA", at positions 958 to 1399 of the family's 1533-position model. The record is from RNAcentral.
AACGCGAAGAACCUUACCAAGGUUUGACAUCACCCGAAAACUCGCAGAGAUGCGGGGUCCCUUGUGGGCGGGUGACAGGUGGUGCAUGGCUGUCGUCAGCUCGUGUCGUGAGAUGUUGGGUUAAGUCCCGCAACGAGCGCAACCCUCGUUCCAUGUUGCCAGCAACCUCUUCGGAGGGUUGGGGACUCAUGGGAGACUGCCGGGGUCAACUCGGAGGAAGGUGGGGAUGACGUCAAGUCAUCAUGCCCCUUAUGUCUUGGGCUGCAAACAUGCUACAAUGGCCGGUACAGAGGGCUGCGAUACCGUGAGGUGGAGCGAAUCCCUAAAAGCCGGUCUCAGUUCGGAUCGAAGUCUGCAACUCGACUUCGUGAAGUCGGAGUCGCUAGUAAUCGCAGAUCAGCAACGCUGCGGUGAAUACGUUCCCGGGCCUUGUACACACCGACGCGUA